RNAcentral lists this transfer RNA (76 nucleotides) under bacterium. RNAcentral describes it as "tRNA-Lys". It matches the Rfam family "tRNA". Rfam says of the family: Transfer RNA (tRNA) molecules are approximately 80 nucleotides in length. Their secondary structure includes four short double-helical elements and three loops (D, anti-codon, and T loops). The record is from RNAcentral.
GAUCCGGUAGCUCAGUUGGUAGAGCACCUGACUUUUAAUCAGGUGGCCCAGGGUUCAAGUCCCUGCCGGAUCACCA